CGGGAAACCGGAGCUAAUACCGGAUAAUAUAUCGAACCGCAUGGUUCGAUAGUGAAAGAUGGUUUUACUAUCACUUAUAGAUGGACCCGCGCCGUAUUAGCUAGUUGGUAAGGUAACGGCUUACCAAGGCGACGAUACGUAGCCGACCUGAGAGGGUGAUCGGCCACACUGGAACUGAGACACGGUCCAG
RNAcentral lists this ribosomal RNA (190 nucleotides) under uncultured Staphylococcus sp. RNAcentral's name for it is "partial 16S ribosomal RNA". It matches the Rfam family "Bacterial small subunit ribosomal RNA", at positions 150 to 334 of the family's 1533-position model. Lineage: Bacteria; Bacillati; Bacillota; Bacilli; Caryophanales; Staphylococcaceae. The record is from RNAcentral.